Molecule: ribosomal RNA, 497 nt
Filed under: uncultured bacterium
Lineage: Bacteria
Description: partial 16S ribosomal RNA
Rfam family: Bacterial small subunit ribosomal RNA
Source: RNAcentral
GACGAACGCUGGCGGCGUGCCUAAUACAUGCAAGUUGAGCGCUGAAGGUUGGUACUUGUACCAACUGGAUGAGCAGCGAACGGGUGAGUAACGCGUGGGGAAUCUGCCUUUGAGCGGGGGACAACAUUUGGAAACGAAUGCUAAUACCGCAUAAAAACUUUAAACACAAGUUUUAAGUUUGAAAGAUGCAAUUGCAUCACUCAAAGAUGAUCCCGCGUUGUAUUAGCUAGUUGGUGAGGUAAAGGCUCACCAAGGCGAUGAUACAUAGCCGACCUGAGAGGGUGAUAGGCCACAUUGGGACUGAGACACGGCCCAAACUCCGACUGGAGGCAGCAGUAGGGAAUCUUCGGCAAUGGACGAAAGUCUGACCGAGCAACGCCGCGUGAGGGAAGAAGGUUUUCGGAUAGUAAAACUCUGUUGGUAGAGAAGAACGUUGGUGAGAGUGGAAAGCUCAUCAAGUGACGGUAACUACCCAGAAAGGGACGGCUAACUACGUG